GUGCUUUGCUAUUUUUAUUGACUUCAGGAUAUCGUGAUAUUGAGAAUUCAAUAAUGUAUAGCAAGAAGCCU
Non-coding RNA from Nicotiana sylvestris (wood tobacco), 71 nucleotides. The record is from Rfam. Lineage: Eukaryota; Viridiplantae; Streptophyta; Magnoliopsida; Solanales; Solanaceae.